GAAUCCCACAGGCCGUAAACCCAAGGUUUCCAGGGGAAGGUUCGUCCGCCCUGGGUUAGUCGGGACCUAAGCUGAGGCCGAAAGGCGUAGGUGAUGGACAACAGGUUGAUAUUCCUGUACUACCGAUCACCGUUUGAGAGAAGGGAUGACACAGUAGGAUAAGCUAAGCACACUGUUGGUUAUGUGUGCCCAAGCAUUGAGGCAG
This 205-nucleotide ribosomal RNA is filed under the name Clostridioides difficile. RNAcentral describes it as "partial 23S ribosomal RNA". It matches the Rfam family "Bacterial large subunit ribosomal RNA", at positions 1325 to 1527 of the family's 2925-position model. Lineage: Bacteria; Bacillati; Bacillota; Clostridia; Peptostreptococcales; Peptostreptococcaceae. The record is from RNAcentral.